This is a long non-coding RNA of Misgurnus anguillicaudatus (oriental weatherfish), 706 nucleotides long. RefSeq lists it as uncharacterized. The record is from RefSeq and is a predicted model, not a curated record. NCBI's taxonomy places the organism in Eukaryota, Metazoa, Chordata, Actinopteri, Cypriniformes, Cobitidae.
GCAGUCGCAGACGUCAUCAGCAUCUGAGCGCAGUCGCGGGUUCCCUGCUUGUUAUUUGAAGAAUUAAACCGUCGUCAGAAACGCUCACAACAUUUCCAAACCCCAGUAAAGUUAUUUGCAGUUAACCUCCGCUGUGUAGAAAAUGUAUGGUUUAAAUGUGACAGUCUCAACGUUGUAGUAGAUUUCCAGAUUCAUCUUGGUACAACGCCAGAGCUCACGGGGAGACGGAAUCACAUGAUCACAUGAGAAUAUGGACACAUCCUUUAAUGCGAAGUUUCUUGCUGGGACCCAAACAGAAGACGACUCCAGGCCCGAUCCGUGCCAAAGUCAGCAGUUUUGGUGCGGAUCAGGUGUGGAUCCGGACCCGAAGUCGUCUGCUGCCUAGGAUACUACACCCUUAUUGAUUUGGAAGCGAGUGGCUGUUUGUGAGGACAACUUCCGUCCUUCUGUUCAUCGCUGGCUGCCAGCCACCGGCAGGAAACAAAGACUGAUUUAUGCAAAUAUCCACGGCAGUUCCUCUCUCUCUCAACCUCGACAGCACAUUCUCCACAAUCUUCUGUCUGCUGUAUCUGCUAGAAUUAAAAUAUUUCUAUCAGAUGAAAACACACCAUCGCGCCGAGACACUGAACAUCUCCAUCCAAACACACUUGCUUUUAUCCGCUUGAAUUUGCAGCGCUAAUAAAGUUAAUAAGUUGUUUUUUAGAAA